This 2412-nucleotide ribosomal RNA is filed under the name Streptococcus equi subsp. equi. The record is from RNAcentral. Lineage: Bacteria; Bacillati; Bacillota; Bacilli; Lactobacillales; Streptococcaceae.
UUAUGAGAAUAAGGAAGUUCAAAAGUUAAGUGACGAUAGCCUAGGAGAUACACCUGUACCCAUGCCGAACACAGUAGUUAAGCCCUAGAACGCCUGAAGUAGUUGGGGGUUGCCCCCUGUUAGAUACGGUAGUUGCUUAGCAUUUAUCCGCCAUAGCUCAGUUGGUAGUAGCGCAUGACUGUUAAUCAUGAUGUCGUAGGUUCGAGUCCUACUGGCGGAGUUUGGCUCUAUGUCAACUAUAGUGGGUUGACUAACAACGGACAUUUAGAGAGGAUCAGUUUGGUGCUCUCUUUUUUGUGUACUCAAAAAGCUCUAUGAUUUCCACAGUGGACUUACCUAUUCCAGAUGGUAUAGAGCCUUGCUUUUUAGGGGAUAGUAUGGUAGGAUAGUAAUAGUUAAGAAAAGCACCCUUAGCUCAACUGGAUAGAGUACCUGACUACGAAUCAGGCGGUUAGAGGUUCGACUCCUCUAGGGUGCAUAGCAAGGCAACAGGACAUUUCUGUCCUGUUGUUUUUUUGUUUGUCUCCUUAUAAUAAGGCUACUAAGCAUGAAAAGGAGAAAGUAUAAUGACUGAUGAUUUAGUGAGGUUGUUUGAUAAGAUCAAGCCUAUUAUUAUGAAGCUAAGACAGCAUUAUUAUAUUCAGCUGUGGGAGCUAGAUGAUUGGUUACAGGAGGGGCGGUUGAUCUUGUAUCGGUUAUUGGUCACUUAUCCAGAAUUGAUAGAGGAUGAGGAGAAGCUAUAUCGUUAUUUUAAGACCAAGUUUUCCUCUUAUUUGAAGGACGUGUUGCGGCAGCAGGAGAGUCAGAAGCGUCGGUUUCAUAAGAUGGCUUAUGAGGAGAUUGGGUCGGUAGGCCAUGCGAUACCAGCAGGUGGUUUGGGAGUAGAUGAUUAUGUGGCUUAUCAGUUGAUUGUGAAGGAGGUUGAGGAGCGAUUGACAGAGGGUGAGCUGUCGCAGUUUCGGGCUUUGAUCAGGGGAGAGCGGUUUGAGGGGAGACGGGCCUUGCUUCGCAAGAUAGGACCUUACUUUCAGGACUUUACUGGUGAGAAAUAAAAGGGGUUACCGGAACGAGAUUGAAAGNAGCGAAGUUAGAGACGUCACACUGCCAAGAAAAGCUUCUAGCGAUACGUAUACUCUACCCGUACCGCAAACCGACACAGGUAGUCGAGGCGAGUAGCCUCAGGUGAUCGAGAGAACUCUCGUUAAGGAACUCGGCAAAAUGGCCCCGUAACUUCGGGAGAAGGGGCGCUGACUGAAGGUCAGCCGCAGUGAAUAGGCCCAAGCAACUGUUUAUCAAAAACACAGCUCUCUGCUAAAUCGUAAGAUGAUGUAUAGGGGGUGACGCCUGCCCGGUGCUGGAAGGUUAAGAGGAGUGCUUAGCGCAAGCGAAGGUAUGAAUUGAAGCCCCAGUAAACGGCGGCCGUAACUAUAACGGUCCUAAGGUAGCGAAAUUCCUUGUCGGGUAAGUUCCGACCCGCACGAAAGGCGUAAUGAUUUGGGCACUGUCUCAACGAGAGACUCGGUGAAAUUUUAGUACCUGUGAAGAUGCAGGUUACCCGCGACAGGACGGAAAGACCCCAUGGAGCUUUACUGCAGUUUGAUAUUGAGUAUCUGUACCACAUGUACAGGAUAGGUAGGAGCCAUAGAAGUCGGGACGCCAGUUUCGAUGGAGGCGAUGUUGGGAUACUACCCUUGUGUUAUGGCUACUCUAACCCGGAUAGGUGAUCCCUAUCGGAGACAGUGUCUGACGGGCAGUUUGACUGGGGCGGUCGCCUCCUAAAAUGUAACGGAGGCGCCCAAAGGUUCCCUCAGAUUGGUUGGAAAUCAAUCGCAGAGUGUAAAGGUAUAAGGGAGCUUGACUGCGAGAGCAACACCUCGAGCAGGGACGAAAGUCGGGCUUAGUGAUCCGGUGGUACCGUAUGGAAGGGCCAUCGCUCAACGGAUAAAAGCUACCCUGGGGAUAACAGGCUUAUCUCCCCCAAGAGUUCACAUCGACGGGGAGGUUUGGCACCUCGAUGUCGGCUCGUCGCAUCCUGGGGCUGUAGUCGGUCCCAAGGGUUGGGCUGUUCGCCCAUUAAAGCGGCACGCGAGCUGGGUUCAGAACGUCGUGAGACAGUUCGGUCCCUAUCCGUCGCGGGCGUAGGAAAUUUGAGAGGAUCUGCUCCUAGUACGAGAGGACCAGAGUGGACUUACCGCUGGUGUACCAGUUGUCUCGCCAGAGGCAUAGCUGGGUAGCUAUGUAGGGAAGGGAUAAGCGCUGAAAGCAUCUAAGUGCGAAGCCCUCCUCAAGAUGAGAUUUCCCAUAACGUUAAGUUAGUAAGAGCCCUGAGAGAUGAUCAGGUAGAUAGGUUAGGAGUGGACGUGUGGUGACACAUGGAGCGGACUAAUACUAAUAGCUCGAGGACUUAUCCAA